Sus scrofa (pig) is the source of this 1588-nucleotide non-coding RNA. The record is from RefSeq and is a predicted model, not a curated record. NCBI's taxonomy places the organism in Eukaryota, Metazoa, Chordata, Mammalia, Artiodactyla, Suidae.
CGCAGUCACCAUGGCAACCUGAGACGCCUCGCGUUCCGGUUCCUCCCCGCGGGCAGCAAAGCCGAGAGGGCCAGCCAGCCAACCUUCGCCCUGGAAGAAGACCCCCGUGGCAUGAGGGGGGAGGAGGCGGUGACCGCGGGGGUGGUGCCCGAGGCGGGCCUUGACCGGGAGCCGCCUCCGCAGCCCGAAGGCCUGGGGUACGGAGCGCGUGGGGACCCCGGCGGCGGCGGCCCCCAGGAAUCCCGUAAGCAGUGGAAGAAAUUUUUAUAUUGUGAGCCACAUAGGAGAAUUAAGGAAGUACUGGAAGAAGAACUUUAUAUUAAGAGAGAUGAAUGCCACGUUAAAAAUCCACCUGCAGUGGCCCUGGAGGGGAUCUGGAGCAUCCAAAGGAAUCUCCCUGUGGGAGGCUUGAAGCCAGGACCGCCAACCAGAAACAGUUUACUGCCGCAAGCCAAGUACUAUUCGAGGCACGGAGGGCUGAGAAUCCUCAGUCAGAAUCCAAUCUUCUUUUGACUCGCUUCCUCAGGUUAUGAGCAGCAGGUCUGGGGUGGGAUUGGAGAGUCUGCAUUUCUGACCAGCUCCCGGGCAAUGCUGAUGUUGCUUGUCCAGACACUGGACUCUGGGAUAAAAUGGACAACUAUUCCAUUGAGAAGAAACCUCUUUCCCCUGAUGCCUGAAAAACAGAAGAAACCCAAGCUUAUUUCAUAGUUUAGAUGUGUUAAAAAUGUAUAUUAGUCUGGGGGGUUCUUAUUGUGGCUCAGUGGGUUACGAACCUAUUAUCCGUGAGGAUGCAGGUUCAAUCCCUGGCCUUGCUCAAUGGGUUAAGGAUCCAGUAUGGCCGUGAGCUGUGGUAUAGGCUGGCAGCUGCAGCUCUGAUUCAACCCCUAGCCUGGGAACUUCCAUGUGUUGCAGAUGCAGCCCUAAAAAGCAAAAUAAAAAAGUAUAUUAGUUUGUAAUUCCUAUUAUUUGUAUAAGCUCCUAUCUAUAAAUGAAUCCAAAGCAAUGACAGACUAUUGGUAAAAUUGCUAAGUACCUGAAAACAGUGAAGGAAAAUAUUAUAUUUAUUUUUGGUUGUCACAGUCGAAUACAAUCAGGCUUCUAAUUCAACUUAUUAAAUAUGUCAAAUGUGAUCAAACAAAGGCAUGUUUAUUGAGUCUUCACUUCGAGGUAAACAUCAUAAAUAUUAAUCUUUCACUGGAGUAUAAUUACAUUCAUCCAUUAAAAAAAUUCAGUUAUAGGUAAAGGUUAGUGAAUAAAUAAUAGAUGAAAAGUUUCUGACUCAGAACCAUUUUAAUGCUCUCCUUGGUAGAGCUAGUCAUUUCUCUAGAAUUUGUCCACUAAAUAGUAAAGAGCCAGGAAAUUUAUGAGGAGAUCUUAAAAACGGUUCGGGGGGCACAAUUUACAAAUACUAUUUGGGCUAAAAUACAAAUACUACUGGGCUAAAAAGAGGUUAAAAAGGAGAGGAGAAAAAAAACCCUUCCUUUUGCCCCCAGUUGUCAAAAGUAAUGUAUAAACAGUAUAGAAGAAAAUGAAAAAUAAAGAAAAAUAAAGGAGGCAUUCCCGUUGUGGCACAGUGGAAACCAAUCUA